Molecule: ribosomal RNA, 131 nt
Filed under: uncultured bacterium
Lineage: Bacteria
Description: partial 16S ribosomal RNA
Rfam family: Bacterial small subunit ribosomal RNA
Source: RNAcentral
GGGCCCGCACAAGCGGUGGAGCAUGUGGUUUAAUUCGAAGCAACGCGAAGAACCUUACCAGGUCUUGACAUCCUCUGACAACCCUAGAGAUAGGGCUUUCCCCUUCGGGGGACAGAGUGACAGGUGGUGCA